CUCUUUCCCUGAUAACCAAUUACUGUGGUACAGCACAGGACCUGAGCAAGCAUCCAUAACACCUGAGAUGGCAGUGAUACUCCUGUGAUGGAGGGUAGAUCAUCAGACACAGAUCUGAUAAUUAGGGACUGUCAUGGUCGUGGAAGGCUGGCCCCCUCCUUGGAUGCCACAGAGCAAAAAGCUCUUGGUCACACAGGGAGUGUUGUGUUGAGAUGGACGAGAUGGUGAUGCCACAGACUCACUCCAUGGCUUUGGGUAAGCCACCCAACAUUCAUCUACCCAACGAUAAAGAGUCCUAUCUUCUCGAUCCAAAAUGGAGCCAGAUGUGUUGGGAGUCAGCUCCUAACUUCACAGGGUAUGAGUCAAAAUGUGCAGCUCGCCGCCUGGAACUCCGGUGA
Molecule: long non-coding RNA, 398 nt
Filed under: Anas platyrhynchos (mallard)
Lineage: Eukaryota; Metazoa; Chordata; Aves; Anseriformes; Anatidae
Description: lncRNA (ENSAPLG00020006917.1)
Source: RNAcentral